GGCUCGUUGGUUUAGUGGUAUGAUUCUUGCUUCAAGUGCGAGAGGUCCAGGGUUCAAAUCCCAGACAAGCCC
Molecule: non-coding RNA, 72 nt
Organism: Etheostoma spectabile (orangethroat darter)
Lineage: Eukaryota; Metazoa; Chordata; Actinopteri; Perciformes; Percidae
Source: the annotation of a RefSeq genome assembly